Molecule: ribosomal RNA, 428 nt
Filed under: uncultured bacterium
Lineage: Bacteria
Description: bacterial SSU rRNA
Rfam family: Bacterial small subunit ribosomal RNA
Source: RNAcentral
GCAAGGAAUUUUCCGCAAUGGGCGAAAGCCUGACGGAGCAACGCCGCGUGUGGGAGGACGCCUUUCGGGGUGUAAACCACUUUUCUUGGGGACGAAGGAAGUGACGGUACCCGAGGAAGAAGGCCCGGCAAACUACGUGCCAGCAGCCGCGGUAAUACGUAGGGGCCGAGCGUUGUCCGGAGUUAUUGGGCGUAAAGCGCGCGCAGGCGGCGCGUUAAGCCUGGCGUGAAAGCCUCCGGCUCAACCGGGGAAGGUCGUCGGGGACUGGCGUGCUUGAGGACGGCAGGGGUAGGUGGAAUUCCCGGUGUAGUGGUGAAAUGCGUAGAGAUCGGGAGGAACACCCGUGGCGAAGGCGGCCUACUGGGCCGGACCUGACGCUGAGGCGCGAAGGCGUGGGGAGCGAACGGGAUUAGAUACCCGAGUAGUCC